Molecule: RNA transcript, 2486 nt
Organism: Coffea arabica (coffee)
Lineage: Eukaryota; Viridiplantae; Streptophyta; Magnoliopsida; Gentianales; Rubiaceae
Source: RefSeq, a predicted model, not a curated record
AGGACGCCAGAGAUUAAAGGAGCUUCACAGGAGCUGAGUCUUAAGUCUGAGAGGUCAACAUGCUUGAUUAUGUGAAAUACAACUGUGAGAAAGCACUUAGGUUGCAUAAGCAAGUUGAAGAUCUUAUUCGGAUUGAUAAUAAGUCUCGAUUUGUUUCGUUGGUUAGAAGGGUGUUGGAAAAGAAGAAUUUUGUGACUAACGAAAGUGUACUUGACUCAAAGGAUGUGCUGAUGUGGAUAUGUUCCCACCAAGCAUUAGCUUGUGCCACGGCAUUGCUGGAAGGAAAGACUGGACUAUCUGUGGAUCUUAAUGUGACGCUCAAAUGUGGGUUUUACCCAUUGCACUAUGCAGCUGAAAAUUUAUGUUGCGGCCUUACAGAUGUUUUUCUGAAGCAUGGAGCUUUAACUUCCCUUCCUUGCAGCGUUCAUGGGUCAAGAUAUAGUGGAAAGCUCCCCUAAGUGUGGCACUUGAGGCAAUAGGCUGUCAUCCAUUCCUGCGUGAUUGGAGUCCCAAUAAAUCGAUCUUCAAGCUAAUUUAUAUUUUUUGCCUGCCGGAAAUGGCAGAGCCAUUGGAGACCUUAAAACUGCUGGCCUUGCAUACUGAAGAGUUGCAGGUGAUAAGUUCCUCAAAUGUUCAUGAGGGGAGACUUGUUGAGCUAGUUGCUCUAUUGUUGGUUGCUAGGGAAAAAUUACUUGCUCCGGCUAUUGAUAACAGUGUUGAUGGAUCCUUUAUUGGGCAGUGCAUCCUAAAAGAAUUAGCUUUAUUACUUGAUCAAGAGGUUAAGUUAAUGGGUACUGCCCAUAAUGAGGAGUUGAACAGGUGCAGGCAAAUGAAAGAUGCAAUAGGUUCUAUGGGAUUGAUGCUUAAUGUUUUUGAUAAGGCUGGCGGUCCCAUUGAUAGAUUUCGCUACUUCAUUGCACUUGGGAAUGAUAUACCACCACACAUCGUUGUACGAAAUGUGAUUUGUUUGCUCAGAUUUGGGGUUUGCUUUGAAGACGGAGGACAUUGAUGUGUCUGAUAUAAGUUGGCAAGCAUUAUAUAGCUAUAAUUGUCGACAAAGGAGUACAUGAAGGAAGAAGGAAGGAAAAAUAGUGCAGGAUCUGUUUCUAAAAGUGAUCCGCAUGCAGAUCAGGUCCAGCUGCAGAUUGGGGGCUGAGACUCCCCUUUUGGAUCUGCUAUGCAGAUCUGCAACACACUAAAGAAAUUCUAAGGUGGCUGCUAUUCUGAUUUUAUUCGUUUUUGCCGAUUUCAAGUGUAUUUUCUUUCCUUUUCAAUUUAUAAUACUUAAGGCCCAUAAAUAAGUGUUCCUAGGAUUUAUUUGGACAGCUUUUGACAUUAUUAUUAAAAUUUUAAUACUUCUGCAUUGGAUUUUUUUCCUUUUCUUGAGUGUUUACAAGGUUGGAUUCUUGUUGAAUCUAGAUGGGAUUCUUGUUGAAUCUUGGUUUUCCUUUUGGGGUACUAUCAUGUAUCAACUCCUGAUUUGUUUUUUGGAUUAGUUCGUGAAACUAUUCCUAUUAAAUUUUUUCUGCUACCACAUCAAGGGCGUGAAAAACCAAAGCUUCCACCACGAUCUUGCAAUACAACAUCCUCCCUACUCCAUGCAGUUGGUAUUUAGGCUAGAACCUUUUCUGAGGUGAGCCUAGGUUGUCCUCCAUUGUCUGUUAGAGGCUCUUAAUGUAAUUUAUUUUAUAAUUUGAGGGAUCUAGCAGAAAUAUUGCCUAAACGCAAGGGUGUGAAUUGUGAAAUGUAAUAAAGUAUUGAUGCAAUACUAGCUAUCACUGACCUUCACCCUAUUUGUUCUUGAAUUGAUACUGGCAAUGUGGCGGAACAAGCAUGGUGACCAGAUUGAACCUCCAGGAAUCAGCAAGACUCAGUAUGGCUCUUGACAAUAUACUGCAGCCCAAGUCAAGCUGGUCUGACUUCAAUCAGAACUCCGUAAAUGGUGAUGGGGGACAGCGGCAGAUUCAAAUGAAUUCCCCGUUCCCUGCUGGAAUCUCGGUUUCUUCGUUGAAAUCAUUCCAUACAUGUCUAAGAUUCAUGCCCAGGUCUGCGCCUGUGCCAGCGCCACCAAGGGGAACUCAGAAAAUAAUCAGAGGCAUGCAACCUGGGUCCAGGCUUUGUUGGGCUACUCAUUGGGCCUUUCGUGCCCUUACUAUCAAGAGAAGGAUUUGAUGAUACCUACCUAUCUACCUAGUUUGACUGUGGAACACUAACACCUCAUUGAGUAUUACCCAUUGUUGAAGUGUCGAUUAACAUCAUUAGAAAUGUUUCUUGGGUUGUGAACCAUCUUUGAGUUGGACUGGAAUUGAAUUUCCAACAGACAACUACUGCUAGUACUACUUCGGCACAGAUCCAAAUGGGAAAAUUUAGCGUAGGGGUGUUGUCUUUUUAGUGCUUUAAUUGUUACUAGUAUUUUCUAUUUGAAUCACUCAUCUUGCUGAACUUUUGCCAUAUAUAUCAUGAAAUCUAAUUAUAUUUUCCCUAAA